Rosa chinensis is the source of this 1593-nucleotide RNA transcript. RefSeq lists it as uncharacterized. Lineage: Eukaryota; Viridiplantae; Streptophyta; Magnoliopsida; Rosales; Rosaceae. The record is from RefSeq and is a predicted model, not a curated record. The transcript is spliced from 3 exons.
UUCUAAUUAGCAGAUUGAUCAAACACUACAGGAAAAAGGUAAAUCUCACCCUCUCAUGUCAAAGGGUAAACCCCGCUCUCUCUGUCUCUCUCUCGACCUCCCCAGCACAGCCGCGAUGAUGCCGUACAACGUCCCACCGCUAUCACCGAUUACCUCAAGAGGUUACUUCAGCACAAGGAGCUCAAAUCCGGAGUCCGAGGAAGUCAGAUUCGCACUCCAAAUCCUCCUGUUCGACUCUGCAUCUGCAACCGGAGAGCGUCUCUCUCACCAUUUGCGAACCAGCUCACAAGCAAUUCGAAAGUCCAAAGGUCUGAGUGGUGGUGCUGGUGGAAUAUGAUUUAUCGCGUUUUGAAAUUAAAUGUCAACCUACUUGGACUUGUUUAACAUUAAGAGGUCAUCUCCGGGUUAGUUUGUUUUGAGGGAUAUUGGACAUGAGUAUGCUGGUGGGGACAUGCUUGAGCCAAGGGAAGCUGAUAUACCUGCCCUGUUCUUGGUUUUCGUUGUGCUUCCUUUGCCUGCUUAUGUUUUACUUGGAAAAUGGAGUGAGGCAUCUAAGAAGAGUGAGAGGGUACGUUUGCUUGCUCAACUCGCAUCAGAAGAAGCUGUUAGAGCAGAAGAAAUGGUUGUUCCUGACAUUAUUCCUCCGGUUUCGUCUUCAAAGAAUAAUGUUCAUGCAUGUGCUAGAUGCUCUCGGCCAACCAUAACCCGCUUGCAAAUCUGUCAGAUACUGUUCUAGGAAGUGUCAAAUAAUUCAUUGGAGGGAAGUUCACAGGCAAACAUGCUUGCAGUUGGAACCUAGUAGUGCAACCUCAUCUCCUAUGGCUGUCUCAUAUGGAGCUUGACAAGGAACUUUAUAGUAAUAAGAUAAAUGGUAAUAUUUCAGACGAGCUUGGCAAUUUGAAAAACCUGGUGAGCUUGGAGUUUCAAUUACUUUUAAAAGUUGUUUUUCACUUGCUUUCUUUAAGAAAAUAUUCCUCUCAUUAUAGUAUUACAUUUGUAGUAGAAGCUUGAAGAGGAGUUUCACUAGGCCUGGCAACGGGCGGGUAUAGUGCGGGUACGGGCCGGGUUUUUAACGGGACGGGUUUUUAACGGGCCGACCCGGUAAAAACCCGUUAAGUUAACGGGUUUCGCGGGCUAAACCCGACGGGUUUGCGGGUUUUCCGUUGGAACCCGUUAACAAUUUUUUUUUUUAAAUUAAAUUUUUAAAAAAAAAAAAAAUCCGUGUUGAAAGACACAACAGUAGAUAGAUAAAGCAUAAAGAGUGAAAGACAGAGAAGAGGCCAAGGUGUGCGACCUACAGAGCAGGCAACAUGGGUAUAUGAUAUUGAAAGACAAUGAGCUCAUCUGUAAGACACUGACCACAUCAGCAUAUAUAUGGACACAUUUGGAAGAACGAUUAUUGGAUGGAAUUGUCGGAAUGAUCCAGUGUUGGAACACGAAGAAUAGGCUCGUGGAAAAUAGUUGUACAUGCACAGGAGACCAUUUGACUUAACCAAGUGAAGUCUUCUAUUCUAUGCCUGUAAUGCCGUCAACAAUUUUAGUUUCCUUUGUGUUUGUCAAAUGGUCAAUCAAUCAACUUCCAUUUGCUGGUAA